Molecule: long non-coding RNA, 402 nt
Organism: Passer montanus (Eurasian tree sparrow)
Lineage: Eukaryota; Metazoa; Chordata; Aves; Passeriformes; Passeridae
Exons: 2
Source: RefSeq, a predicted model, not a curated record
CACUGGAGAAACCUUUGUGACUUCUGUGGAUCAAGGACCAAGAAUGUGGAAAAUCCCAUCUAGGUUUUCCUUAUGAUCCCCUCCCAUCUGGACCUUGUUUUCCCACAAUCUUUGGUUUUCCCUUUGGAAAAGACAUGUGCCUUUCCCUUCAGCAACCUUGUGGGAUGGAGCUGACCCCGUGCAGAAGUGUUGGAUGUUGCUGAGGUGCAGGUGGGCACCUUGUCAAGACUGGGAAUGAAGAUGAGCAGGCAAGAAUGCUGUCAGGAUAUAAUCCUGGUGUGGAAGUGACCCUGCCUCAUCCAUCAUCACAGCUCACCAUGGGCAGAAGGGGAGAAGUUCAAAGAAGGGAUGCAGGGAAGAUAAAACAUGAGUAGGUCAGGACUUCUUGUCCUUGGAAAGAGG